GUAAAAUUAGGGUUUCUCGGAUUCCGAAGACAUUCCGCCAGGCUUGCUCCGGCGAUAAAUUCAUAAACUAGAUAAAUGUAAUUCCCCGAAAUCGACGCGCCAAGGAGCUUCACCAAACUAUUAUGGUGGCUCCGGCAGAUAACAGACAACUGAUGCUUCAACUCCGGCAACUCGAUCGGGCGGAGCAAUUUCCGCUGAAAG
Molecule: unclassified non-coding RNA, 201 nt
Filed under: Hevea brasiliensis (rubber tree)
Lineage: Eukaryota; Viridiplantae; Streptophyta; Magnoliopsida; Malpighiales; Euphorbiaceae
Source: RNAcentral